Molecule: long non-coding RNA, 301 nt
Organism: Drosophila serrata
Lineage: Eukaryota; Metazoa; Arthropoda; Insecta; Diptera; Drosophilidae
Source: RefSeq, a predicted model, not a curated record
AUUAUAUUUCCAUCAGUUGUCGAACAGCUUCUUAUAAAUCAGGAUGAAUAUUUCAUGGCUAUUAUUAUUAUGCACUCUUUGGCAUUUUGCUAGAGCACUACCUAUUAAAUGCUUUAAAAACUCUUGUGAAGAGUUGCUCCCAUAUGAUACUUUUGAUGACGUAAAUUAUAGGAGUGCUUAUACAAAUAUUCCGCCACCAAGGCCAAAAUAAUAUUCCAUUGGAUAUUAUAAUACAUCAUAUUUAAAAUCGGCUCUUAUUUGAUAUUUGUAAACCACUUAAAAAUAAACUUUUUUAAAUGAA